RNAcentral lists this long non-coding RNA (492 nucleotides) under Marmota monax (woodchuck). Lineage: Eukaryota; Metazoa; Chordata; Mammalia; Rodentia; Sciuridae. The record is from RNAcentral.
GCCGACACUGAUGCACACAAGCCUGAGAGCCUGAUGAGGACCUGGACUGACAUCCUAACUCUUCUCAUCUGGUUGAUACUCUGCAUGUUCCUCACCACUCUCAAACUCUACAGCAGCCUCUUGACACUAGUGAGAAAAGGACUUCUCCCUAAGAUGACUUCCUCAGCCAGCUGUCAGCUCCACCCAAGGAGAAGCCUGCCUUGGUUCCUGAUCUGAUCACCAUGGUCUGAGUGAGUGUGUAUCUGCUGGACUUAGAGCCUAAGUCUUGAGACUUUUAAUCUGACACUUGAGCUUAGCUUGCAGAGGGAAUGUCUGUCAUGAGCCUGUCAUGAUUAAGUGUGUUUGCAGUGCUUAUAAUUAAUCUAGAAUUGUUUGCUGUGAAUUGAUUAUGUCUAUUGCAGUGCCUAGCAUUAAGGAUUGUAAUUUUCUUGAUUAAGAACCUAUAGAGUGAAAUUGUAUUGUGAUUUGAGUGAAUAAAGCAUUGAAAAGGGC